RNAcentral lists this ribosomal RNA (301 nucleotides) under uncultured bacterium. RNAcentral's name for it is "partial 16S ribosomal RNA". It matches the Rfam family "Bacterial small subunit ribosomal RNA", at positions 509 to 809 of the family's 1533-position model. The record is from RNAcentral.
CAGCAGCCGCGGUAAUACGUAGGUGGCGAGCGUUGUCCGGAAUUAUUGGGCGUAAAGGGAGCGCAGGCGGACAUAUAAGUCCAUCUUAAAAGUGCGGGGCUCAACCCCGUGAGGGGAUGGAAACUGUAUGCCUUGAGUGCAGGAGAGGAAAGCGGAAUUCCCAGUGUAGCGGUGAAAUGCGUAGAUAUUGGGGGGAACACCAGUGGCGAAGGCGGCUUUCUGGACUGUAACUGACGCUGAGGCUCGAAAGCCAGGGGAGCGAACGGGAUUAGAUACCCCAGUAGUCCCUGUCUCUUAUACA